Long non-coding RNA from Bos taurus (domestic cattle), 1709 nucleotides. The record is from Ensembl. Lineage: Eukaryota; Metazoa; Chordata; Mammalia; Artiodactyla; Bovidae.
ACAAUACUGACACUAUGCUGCCUUCACUGUAGAGAGAAAAAAAAAAAGCCAAUUUUUGAAAUUAAUUUGGGUGAAUUUAUCGAAGGCCAUUGACAGUUUUUGUAUGUUCCUGUAUAUCAAUUCCAUCUUUAAAUUUUAUCAUAAUCCAACAAUUCCAGUUACAUUUAACUCCUGCUAAGGAGUUCAAAUUAAAGUGCUUUCUUAUCCAAGUAGAGGUCAAUGAAAAUAUAUAUAAAAUCAUUUUCAUUUUCAUUAGGGAGGAAGAGCUGUGGUACUGGUUAAAAAAGUGAGUAAAUGCAUUUACAGCAAUACAUUUCUAGUAACCACAGAAAUGUAUUGUCUGUGUGAAUUAAAACUUGACAGAUUGACAAUUUAUCUGACAAAUGUUAUAAUAGUUACUUCCAUUCUGUCUUGUCCUGAUUUGAAUUUUCUGUUCACUUCUAACAAUUUUAACAGGUUUUUCCCAUGACUAUUUAACAUUAGAUUGCUCUAUUAGUAACUGAUUCAUGCACUUUGACCUUCUCUGUGGUAAUUUUUUUUAACUUAGCCUGCUUAGACUUAGCAAGAUGACUGCUGUCAGAGGACAGAGGGAGAAAGCCUAAGCCAACUGAGUGCCUAUCAUAACUGAACUCAUAACCUAAUAUCUCAUGAAAUAGGGACUUUGGCAGGUUUCAGUAGCAUAGCAUGAAAAAGUAGCAUUGAGCCAAAAAUAAGCAAAUAGCAAACCCCUGUUCUAUUUGGAAAGGAAAUGGUGGGUUUUGUCCCUAACUACUCUUAUCUUGAAACAACGACAAAAAACAUUUUUUAACUUGUAUAUCUGUAUUCUAAAACACUGCCAUCAUAAAGCAGACAUGUGAGUGAAAGGGUUGCCUCAUCCAGAAGUCAUUAGUGUGAAGGGAGAGAUUGGGCUCCCCCCCAGUCCUAUCUUUAUUUUGAUUUUAUUCUACAUAGUCUAGGAAAUGUACUAUGGUCUCUAAAAGCCCUAGUUUUCAAAGUGACUCUGCCUUUUUGUUGGUAGGCGGCAAAAAACACUAUUGCUUUGUCUUACAGAGCGAAUGUCUGCCAACUACCCAUUCAUUAUAUGUCUGAACUUUGGUAAUAUAUGGCUGUGGAGAUUAAACCUUCUAUAAAGACUUCCUAUUGAGGUGAAUGCUCAUAUUGAAAUGUAGUUACCUACAAUAUUUACUAGAGAUUUAUGAGAUUAAAUUAAGAGAUAAUGUAAGAAAGUAGACUUUUUUGUUCUACAUGCUUGAUGAUUCAUUUAGGGACCUAGAAAUAUUGUGCAAAAAUGUAUAAAUAGCAUCCAAAAGGCUUUCUGCCCUAUAUUUUUAAAACACAGAAUAGUUAUAUAUGAAGUAGUCCUGGCCCUAGUUCUAUAGGGCUCGGCUACUAAUAUUUUUAUGGAAGAAAUGUUUAGUUCUGGAAAAGGUAAAUGCUUGUAUAUAUUUUUGCAGCCUGGGAUCUCCCUUACUCCAUUUCUUCCUUUAAUUUAAAUGGCCACAUGUAUAUGUCUUUCCCUGCUGUGUUAGGAAAAUGGGGGCUGGAUAUCCCAAGAAUCAGAGGUUAUAUAAAAAUACUGCAGAUAGACAGCAGACAUAAAUAUCUACCAAAUGCUAUCUUAAAUUUUGGUCCAAACUGAUCAUUUGGAAAUAGACUUAUUGUAAGUGUUUAAUUAGAGCAAUUUCUUAAAUCUGAACUAAAUUGCUUUU